This is a long non-coding RNA of Brienomyrus brachyistius, 1378 nucleotides long. RefSeq lists it as uncharacterized. The transcript is spliced from 2 exons. The record is from RefSeq and is a predicted model, not a curated record. NCBI's taxonomy places the organism in Eukaryota, Metazoa, Chordata, Actinopteri, Osteoglossiformes, Mormyridae.
UUAACUUGUCUAUACUCAGAAAAACAUGUAUAAGAAUAUACAUUGAUAAACUCCUUUAGUAUAAAAGCAUUUACAUUGUACAUAACAAAUGUAGUAAUAUUUGAAAUUUGCGAGUAAAGUGGGCAUGAGUAAAAGAUUAUUUGUGAAGUAAAAAUUAUUGUUAUAUGCAGACGCCUGUCUCUUCUCCGACAAAUAUAGUCGCAGAAAUAAUUAAAACAUCACUCUGUAUGUUUAAACAAAUUUGCAUUUUUGAAAUUACAGUUUGCUUGUGGUUCUGGCUGGCAGGAGGCUGCGCUGACUAGCAGGCAGCUUCCGAGUGAAAGAUUUCUAAGACAGCAGCACACAAGAAUAUGGUGAAGCAGGAGACACUGGGAACGACCAGAAACCAGCCAGGUACUCCUGCUUCUCCUUCGCCAGCUGCAGUCCUUGUGCCUCCAAACUCUCGAUCAUAGCCUCACCCAACAGUGAAUUCAUCCAGGUGCUUUCAGGUUCAAACAAUAAGCAAGUCCAAAGAGAGAGAAGGAAAGCAAGGUCAAACACCAACGUAAAAACGUGCUUUUCCCUGCUUUGUUUAACCCUUUAUACUCCAUUUCUGAUUAAAAAAAUAUAUAGUGUUGAUAUCAGUAUAACUUCAUGGUUCCCCCUCACACAACUACAGAAAAGUCAGAAAUAUAUGAACACUGGACCAUAUUCUGAACAUAAUGAACUGCAUUUGCACGAUUCAGGACAGCACUGUAUGAAAUGCUGUGUGGUGGUCACAGAAAACCAGUGUGCACUGAUGAAGUCUCCCAGACUGAUAUCUAGUGUCAUACGAGACUCGGGUUCGAUGCCUCUCAGCAGUCCUGUCUUUCUGUACACCACCAUCGAUCGGCUGUGCAUUAGCUUAGCAGACUCACACUUUGCUCGAUUCCUGCAGCUGCUUCACCCACUGACUCUGCUCCAGCUCUGAUUCGGCUGCCAGGACGAUGUUGCCCUAUUAUAAAAGCCAAGAAAAGCUUUUCCUUUGUCUUCCUCCGAUGCAUAGCAAUUUAUUGCAUUAUUGUACUUACUUGUUUUCAUAUCAUGAUAACUGCUAGAACUUACUGAGAAAUCCUGAUGCGUGAUUGUCAAGGCGAAGGGCAUUCCCUGUACGUCUUUAGAAUUUACCACGCAUCCUCCCAAAGGGAGAACUCCCUGAAAAGCAGGUUUAUGAAUGAGAGAAACCUAGAGGUAUCUAAUUGCAUAUACAAACAAGCCAUGGCUUACAGUAUAUACAGAUACAGACAUUCCCACAAUUCCCUUGCUAUUAUGUCGCCUCUGGCCUGCUCACUGGGGGCUUUGAGACAAUGUUAUGUUGUGAAAAUGCGCUAUACAAAUAAAAAUUUAUUUUUAAUUGAAA